AUAAUGGGUCAGCGACUUAUAUUCUGUAGCAAGGUUAACCGAAUAGGGGAGCCGAAGGGAAACCGAGUCUUAACUGGGCGUUAAGUUGCAGGGUAUAGACCCGAAACCCGGUGAUCUAGCCAUGGGCAGGUUGAAGGUUGGGUAACACUAACUGGAGGACCGAACCGACUAAUGUUGAAAAAUUAGCGGAUGACUUGUGGCUGGGGGUGAAAGGCCAAUCAAACCGGGAGAUAGCUGGUUCUCCCCGAAAGCUAUUUAGGUAGCGCCUCGUGAAUUCAUCUCCGGGGGUAGAGCACUGUUUCGGCAAGGGGGUCAUCCCGACUUACCAACCCGAUGCAAACUACGAAUACCGGAGAAUGUUAUCACGGGAGACACACGGCGGGUGCUAACGUCCGUCGUGAAGAGGGAAACAACCCAGACCGCCAGCUAAGGUCCCAAAGUCAUGGUUAAGUGGGAAACGAUGUGGGAAGGCCCAGACAGCCAGGAUGUUGGCUUAGAAGCAGCCAUCAUUUAAAGAAAGCGUAAUAGCUCACUGGUCGAGUCGGCCUGCGCGGAAGAUGUAACGGGGCUAAACCAUGCAC
This 581-nucleotide ribosomal RNA is filed under the name Escherichia coli. Its description in RNAcentral is "partial 23S ribosomal RNA". It matches the Rfam family "Bacterial large subunit ribosomal RNA", at positions 612 to 1194 of the family's 2925-position model. The record is from RNAcentral. Lineage: Bacteria; Pseudomonadati; Pseudomonadota; Gammaproteobacteria; Enterobacterales; Enterobacteriaceae.